AUUCACAAGCUUUAGCUGCUCUAUGCGAUUCCAUCACGGAUCCGAAGAACUUUUCAAAUGUGCAGCUCCAUUUUUCAAAAAGACAGUAGCGGAUUCGAAUCUCCGGUGCAGGAGAAGGCGUUGGAUGCUUUGAUUGCGUUCUUAAAAGCGGCUGACGUUGAUGCCGGAAGGUGAUGCCGUUUUCCCUUUUAAACUUCUUUUAUAUAUGAAUUUGUAAUUCAUUGGUAAGAACCGCAUAAUAGAAAUAUGAUUUGGCGUUAGAGGAAGCUUCGAUGCGGAACAAGACAGUAGCGGUCGUCAACAGGGCUUACGUCGUGUAAAGCGUUAAUGCGGAGACCACAAUGCUGGACCUUUUCUUGGAGAGCUUUUGGCUGGGGGAAGAUACGAGGCCAUUGCUGGAUCAGACGGCUUACGAUCGGUGCAUGUUCAAGCGAUUGCACUGUUACAGAUUGGUGACGGAGGGUGUGGAUUUCGGGGAGGAGAAGGUAUUCAUGUCCCGGGAUUUUAUCAAGAUGAUGUGGAGAAGAACUUUUUUGCUUAUGGAAGUGUUGAGGCGUGGCUACAGUUUCAUUUUGCAAGUUGGCGAACUUGUGCUAUUGUAUAGGACCACUUGGAUGAGAUAUUUGCUUUCUACAGAGUUCCUGCUUGUGUGUGAGUACCUGGGUGAAUGGAGAAGUAGAAAUUAGUGAGUAAAAUGCAUCAGGGAGAAUAAGAUGUCCUAAGAUCGUCACGGGAGAGUUUGAAGGAGUCGUGAAUUUCUAUGGCAGGAAGGGCAUACUGCCUUCGCAACAAAGGAAGAGGCAGACACUGAGGUAGCGGUCUUAAAUUUUUUACUUUUGGGAAGUAUUUAAACUUAGAGAGGUGAAGUUUGUCCACUGUGCUGUUGGAAUCCAAUGAACUCCCAGAAGAUAUUGAAGGUGUAGCAGAGGAUUCAAUCUCUUCAAGCUGGAAAAGCCAAGGCUUAGCACUUCUUCAAGUGGAAUGUUAUUUAAUGUUGCAUUCCAUGGUCGUUUAUCCUAGUCAGAACUUGAAUUUGGUGUUAUUGAAACAGUGUUUUGUAGCUACCUUGUGUACUAGCUUCUUUAACCAUGAUUGUUAAUUAUUACGUGUUUUUUAGCUUCUUUUAUAA
Gossypium raimondii (Peruvian cotton) is the source of this 1129-nucleotide long non-coding RNA. RefSeq lists it as uncharacterized. Lineage: Eukaryota; Viridiplantae; Streptophyta; Magnoliopsida; Malvales; Malvaceae. The record is from RefSeq and is a predicted model, not a curated record. The transcript is spliced from 4 exons.